GUACUCAGAGCCUGGGAGAAAAGGACACUGCAUAUCACAGAGAGAUGCAUGGGUGUUACACUCAGAAAGAGAGUGAACAACUAGAAGAUGUGGAAGACUGAGUUUGGCUCUGGAGUCAAUAAUUCUCAAAACAGCUUUCUGAACUCUGAAUCGCAGUAAAGCUGGUGUUCUCCUGAAGCCAACAUUUAUGGUAUUACCUUGCUGAUCCAGGCAAAAUGGCAAAAGUAUAGUGAACAUAAAGCCAGGGGCUGAGAUUGUGGGCGUCCUCUGUACCAAGUUUCUGAUUAUGGCAAGGGUAGAAGUUCACCAGGCUUAGAAUAUAAACUGAAACCUUGAAGAAGUGACCACCUUGUCAUCAACACUUUAUUCUAAGGAUAACAGAGAUAAAUGAUAUAAGGAUCUCUGUUUCUUAAUGGCAUUGUUGAGCCCUAAACUUUCUACUGCUAGAUAUUUUAUUGCAUGAAAUAAAUAAACCUUAGUUGUUUAAAAUA
Molecule: long non-coding RNA, 491 nt
Filed under: Pongo abelii (Sumatran orangutan)
Lineage: Eukaryota; Metazoa; Chordata; Mammalia; Primates; Hominidae
Description: lincRNA
Source: RNAcentral